AACACCUCAACACUCCUCGAUUUGUUUCGAAUGAGUGUUGGACUUGAGCAAACCCAACGCCUUUCUGCUUAGCCAGACUUGCGGCGGGUUGCUUGAAAUGCAGGUGCAGCUGAGUUUUCUUCUGAGCUAAUAGCAUACUUAAUUAGUCCCGUAAAAAGGAUUAUUAAUCUGCUGAAGCUUACACCAAAGGAAGAGCUCUUGGCUGACUGAUGCAGAAUUACGCAUAGCUGGCAACAGCUUUGUAAC
This 246-nucleotide unclassified non-coding RNA is filed under the name Linnemannia amoeboidea. RNAcentral's name for it is "partial internal transcribed spacer 2". The record is from RNAcentral. Lineage: Eukaryota; Fungi; Mortierellomycota; Mortierellomycetes; Mortierellales; Mortierellaceae.